Molecule: ribosomal RNA, 155 nt
Filed under: Paraclostridium benzoelyticum
Lineage: Bacteria; Bacillati; Bacillota; Clostridia; Peptostreptococcales; Peptostreptococcaceae
Description: partial 23S ribosomal RNA
Rfam family: Bacterial large subunit ribosomal RNA
Source: RNAcentral
GCGCUGAAAGCAUCUAAGCGCGAAGCCAACUUCAAGAUAAGAUUUCCCACCGUAAGGGUAAGAUCCCAGGAAGACUACCUGGUUGAUAGGUCGGAGGUGUAAGUGCAGCAAUGUAUGUAGCUUACCGAUACUAAUAGAUCGAGGACUUGACCAAG